UACGUAGGGAGCAAGCGUUGUUCGGAUUUACUGGGCGUAAAGGGCGCGUAGGCGGCAAUUCAAGUCAUCUGUGAAAUCUCCGGGCUUAACUCGGAACGGUCAGAUGAUACUGCUUUGCUAGAGUACAGAAGGGGCAACUGGAAUUCUCGGUGUAGCGGUGAAAUGCGUAGAUAUCGAGAGGAACACCUGCGGCGAAGGCGGGUUGCUGGGCUGAUACUGACGCUGGAGGCGCGAAAGCCAGGGGAGCGAACGGG
Molecule: ribosomal RNA, 254 nt
Filed under: uncultured bacterium
Lineage: Bacteria
Description: partial 16S ribosomal RNA
Rfam family: Bacterial small subunit ribosomal RNA
Source: RNAcentral